GGCCGGGUCCUGUGCGAUCUGUCGGUGUGAACCCUGUCAGGUCCUGACGGAAGCAGCAGUAAGCGUUGGACAGGUGUGCUGCGGGGCUGCCCGGCCUGA
RNAcentral lists this signal recognition particle RNA (99 nucleotides) under Clostridia bacterium. RNAcentral's name for it is "signal recognition particle sRNA small type". It matches the Rfam family "Bacterial small signal recognition particle RNA". From Rfam's summary of the family: The signal recognition particle (SRP) is a universally conserved ribonucleoprotein involved in the co-translational targeting of proteins to membranes. Archaeal SRP consists of a 7S RNA and homologues of the eukaryotic SRP19 and SRP54 proteins. The record is from RNAcentral. Lineage: Bacteria; Bacillati; Bacillota; Clostridia.